CGCGGCAAGAAAAAUGGCUACCCGCCUCCAGUUCUCCUUCCGCCGCUUGCCUACUUCCCGGAUGCUAAGUCGUAUCGCGAGAUUUCGGCCUCGCUAUUAUCUGGGCCGCGGGGAUUGCACACCCUUUUCUUCUGCGCUGUUGGCAGACGCAAGCUGGUUUUCGGGAGUUGGAGGGCCGAGGUCGGGAGAUUGAAAACUUUAAAACAGAGCAACUGAUGAAUAAAUCAGGAAUAGACUCUCUUGACCAUGUAACAUCUGAUGCUAUGGAACUUGCAAAUCAAAGUGAUAACUCUUCUGAUAGCAGCUUAUUUAAAACUCAGUGUGUCCCUUACUCACCUAAACGGGGGCAAAGAAACCCCAUUAGAAAAUGUGUUCGUACACCUGGAAAUGUUCAAGCAAGUGAUUCAUCAAGUGACUCAUCUUUUGAACCAAUACCAUUGACCAUGAAAGCUAUUUUUGAAAGAUUCAAGAACAGGAAAAAGAGGUACAAAAAAAAGAAAAAGAGGUACCAGCCAACAGGAAGACCAAGGGGAAGACCAGAAGGAAGGAGAAAUCCUUUAUGCUCGCUGAUAGAUAAGAAGAAACAGUUUAGAAGUAGAGGACCUGGCUUCCCAUUUUUAGAAUCAGAGAAUGAAAAAAAGCCACCUUGGAAAAAAAUUUUAACGUUUGAGCAAGCUGUUGCAAGAGGAUUUUUUAACUACAUUGAAAAACUGAAAUAUGAACACCAUCUGAAAGAAUCCUUGAAACAAAUGAAUGUUGGUGAAGAUUUAGAAAAUGAAGAUUUUGAUAGUCGUAGAUACAAAUAUUUGGAUGAUGAGGGAUCCAUUUCUCCUAUUGAGGAGUCAACAGCAGAAGAUGAGGAUGCAACACACCUUGAAGAUGACGAAUGUGAUAUCAAAUUGGCAGGGGAUAGUUUCAUAGUAAGUUCUGAAUUCCCUGUAAGACUGAGUGUAUACUUAGAAGAAGAGGAUACUACUGAAGAAGCUGCUUUGUCUAAAAAGAGAGCUACAAAAGCCAAAAAUACUGGACAGAGAGGCCUGAAAAUGUGACAGAAUCAUGAAUGUCAAAGGCUUUUAUCUUGAGAACAUCAUGUCUGGAGUUAAAGGUAUUGGCAUAUUUCCACACCUGUACUAUUCUUGAGUGUAAAUGCUUAGGUAAGUUUUAAUUGGUGACAGUAUCAUCUUGGGAAAUAUGAUUACAGUUCAGAUGAUGAAUUUAACUGUUCAACUGCUGAAUGAUAUGGGCAUGAACUAAAACUUAAUUCUGAUAGAGCUGGAUAUGGUUACAUUAUAAACUAGAUCUUAAAUUUUUAUUUGGAUUUUAGUUUCAGUAACUAGAAAUGUGGUAUCCUUUCUAAAUCUUUAAUUGGUACUUUCUAUAGGAAUGAAUAUGAUUUGAACUCAUUCAUGUUGAAAGGGUGUCAAAUUGGAACCAGGCAGAUCCACCACCUACAAUAAAAAGUUCAACUUCUAGGACCCUAAAGUAAAUUGGUUGAAGAAAGUAGAUCCCAAAGAUUCCUGGGCUGACAGGACAACUGGAUUAAAGCAAGCAUCAGCUUCAUUAAAAAGGGCUAAGAGGAUCUAAAGUGACUCUGAUGGACAGUGGAAGAGAUCACAACAUGGAAUUCCUUGAAUAAAAAUUUAUUGACUUUAAAUAUACACAAUUAAAAAAAAAACUCUUUACACUGUUUCUAAAAGUCAGCAUGUAUUUUUGGCUCGAAGUUUCUCUAAUGUUUUCUGUGGAAGGAAUAAAAAUUUUGCAGUUACAGUUGCGUA
RNA transcript from Cebus imitator (Panamanian white-faced capuchin), 1775 nucleotides. It is a transcript of the gene named TATA-box binding protein associated factor, RNA polymerase I subunit D, with no coding region annotated. The transcript is spliced from 12 exons. Lineage: Eukaryota; Metazoa; Chordata; Mammalia; Primates; Cebidae. The record is from RefSeq and is a predicted model, not a curated record.